RNAcentral lists this ribosomal RNA (253 nucleotides) under uncultured bacterium. RNAcentral describes it as "partial 16S ribosomal RNA". It matches the Rfam family "Bacterial small subunit ribosomal RNA", at positions 524 to 776 of the family's 1533-position model. The record is from RNAcentral.
CACGUAGGGCGCAAGCGUUGUCCGGAAUUAUUGGGCGUAAAGAGCUCGUAGGCGGUCUGUUGCGUCCGCUGUGAAAACUCGGGGCUUAACCCCGAGCCUGCAGUGGAUACGGGCAGACUAGAGGUAGGUAGGGGAGAAUGGAAUUCCCGGUGUAGCGGUGAAAUGCGCAGAUAUCAGGAGGAACACCGGUGGCGAAGGCGGCUUGCUGGGCCUUACCUGACGCUGAGGAGCGAAAGCGUGGGGAGCGAACAGG